This 154-nucleotide unclassified non-coding RNA is filed under the name uncultured Pleosporales. RNAcentral's name for it is "sequence contains ITS1". The record is from RNAcentral. Lineage: Eukaryota; Fungi; Ascomycota; Dothideomycetes; Pleosporales.
CUGUACCCACAGGGGUGGGCUUUCGGGCCUGCCUCCUGUCUACCACCCAUGCUUUUUGCGUACCCACUGUUUCCUCGGCAGGCUUGCCUGCCAGUAGGACCUUUUUUUGAACCUUUUGCAGUUGCAGUCAGCGUCAGAAACAACGUAAUCGUUA